GAUUAUGACGUACUUGUACUGAUUGAGAUUUUAACACGAAGUGAGUGGCGAACGGGUGAGUAACACGUGGGUAACCUGCCCAGAAGUAGGGGAUAACACCUGGAAACAGAUGCUAAUACCGUAUAACAGAGAAAACCGCAUGGUUUUCUUUUAAAAGAUGGCUCUGCUAUCACUUCUGGAUGGACCCGCGGCGUAUUAGCUAGUUGGUGAGGUAAAGGCUCACCAAGGCAGUGAUACGUAGCCGACCUGAGAGGGUAAUCGGCCACAUUGGGACUGAGACACGGCCCAGACUCCUACGGGAGGCAGCAGUAGGGAAUCUUCCACAAUGGACGCAAGUCUGAUGGAGCAACGCCGCGUGAGUGAAGAAGGGUUUCGGCUCGUAAAGCUCUGUUGUUAAAGAAGAACGUGGGUAAGAGUAACUGUUUACCCAGUGACGGUAUUUAACCAGAAAGCCACGGCUAACUACGUGCCAGCAGCCGCGGUAAUACGUAGGUGGCAAGCGUUAUCCGGAUUUAUUGGGCGUAAAGCGAGCGCAGGCGGUCUUUUAAGUCUAAUGUGAAAGCCUUCGGCUCAACCGAAGAAGUGCAUUGGAAACUGGGAGACUUGAGUGCAGAAGAGGACAGUGGAACUCCAUUGGUAGC
This 641-nucleotide ribosomal RNA is filed under the name Pediococcus pentosaceus. RNAcentral's name for it is "bacterial SSU rRNA". It matches the Rfam family "Bacterial small subunit ribosomal RNA", at positions 64 to 679 of the family's 1533-position model. Lineage: Bacteria; Bacillati; Bacillota; Bacilli; Lactobacillales; Lactobacillaceae. The record is from RNAcentral.